RNAcentral lists this ribosomal RNA (484 nucleotides) under Euryomia argentea. RNAcentral describes it as "LSU rRNA". It matches the Rfam family "Eukaryotic large subunit ribosomal RNA", at positions 663 to 1105 of the family's 3401-position model. Lineage: Eukaryota; Metazoa; Arthropoda; Insecta; Coleoptera; Scarabaeidae. The record is from RNAcentral.
GGACCAAGGAGUCUAGCAUGUGCGCGAGUCAUUGGGACUCUAACGAAACCUAAAGGCGUAAUGAAAGUGAAGGCUCGCCUUGCGCGGGCCGAGGGAGGAUGGGUGUCCCUAAGGGGACGCCUCGCACUCCCAGGGCGUCUCGUUCUCAUUGCGAGAAGAGGCGCACCAAGAGCGUACACGCUGGGACCCGAAAGAUGGUGAACUAUGCCUGGUCAGGACGAAGUCAGGGGAAACCCUGAUGGAGGUCCGUAGCGAUUCUGACGUGCAAAUCGAUCGUCGGAACUGGGUAUAGGGGCGAAAGACUAAUCGAACCAUCUAGUAGCUGGUUCCCUCCGAAGUUUCCCUCAGGAUAGCUGGCGCUCGCUUCUCGCGAGUCUCAUUCGGUAAAGCGAAUGAUUAGAGGCAUUGGGGUCGAAACGGCCUCAACCUAUUCUCAAACUUUAAAUGGGUGAGAUCUCCGGCUUGCUUGAACUGUGAAGCCGCG